This is a long non-coding RNA of Ipomoea triloba (trilobed morning glory), 907 nucleotides long. RefSeq lists it as uncharacterized. The transcript is spliced from 2 exons. The record is from RefSeq and is a predicted model, not a curated record. Lineage: Eukaryota; Viridiplantae; Streptophyta; Magnoliopsida; Solanales; Convolvulaceae.
CUGGAUUUGGAUUGGGAUUAGGAUUAGGAUUUAUAUCUGGAUUUGUGUCACUUGGCGGUGUAGUUGGAUUGAUGAUGGGAACAUUAUCUGGAGCCGUAUCAAGCUGGUUAUCAUACAUCGUUCGGGAAAAGAUGAAACUCGAGAAAACAUUACCUGGAAGAAGGAAGAGACAGAAGAAGAGACAUGAGAUGGCACUGCAUGGAGCUCCUGAACCCAUCCUUCCAGUUGCAAUGAAUAAUAAUGUCUUGUUGUUAAUGGCUCUGAUGGGUUGACAGAAAAUGGGUGAUUUCUCAAAGAAGAGAAGCAAUAGAAAUAAUGUAUGCUGUGAGGGAGAAGCCAUUUUUGGAGGAGAUUGUAUAUAUAUAAAUAAUAAAGUGUGAAGAAUCAAAGGUUUCUUGGAUUAGAGCAGAGGUUAGUGUUAUGGAAUAAAAGAAAACUUAGGGGAGGAGGCAUUGGAUAGGUGGGAAGUGCAAGCAAGGGAAGGUGCCUAAAUAGGAGAAAAGAUGUUUGGGGAGGGCCAUAGGGGAAAAAGGGGAGAUCUGUUUGGAAAUGCAAGUCUCAAGCUUUUUCAAUGGUGGUUUUCUGUACAAAUAACCAUGUUGCAGCAGCAUGGUGUUUUACAAAAAGGCCCCGUAGGGUUAGCUCAAGUGGUCGACUAUUUGACUUAAAGUUAGCAUUUUACUGGUAGGAUGUUCUAACACUUUGAGGGCUCUCCAAAUUAACAAAAGUGUCGAGAUGGGUCCCAUUUGUGCAAAAUCAAUGACAGGACUGACUGGGAGGCUGUUUGGGCGACUCGGGAUUUAGGAUUGGUCUGGCGAUAUCAUAAAACACAGAAUUUGUCUUCGUACCCCCCCACCCCCAUAACUCUCAAGUGUCUCUACCUUUUUGGUGAUGUGUACAGUGGAAA